CUUCAAGAAACCUCUACCUGUUUCCACCAGGCAAGACUGGGGUUUUGAAAAUCACUCUGUCUUCUAGAAACAUGCCUGCCUUUCCAUGCUUCAACAAGGCAAAAGCACAACAGAUGAAAAAGCAAGCAAAUGGAGCAAAUGUGGGAUUGACACAGAAAUGAAGACUGCAAAUGAAUGGUAACAAUAUACUCCCAUCAAGGAAGAUAGGGAAUGAUUGAUGAAUGAAUAACUGAAUGUCUUCCAGAAAUAGCAAAUGAAAAUUUAAAGAAUCAGAUACAUUUAAAGAGAGACUUGGUGACUUGGAAUACAUGUCAUGAGGAAUUUCCAAAGAUGCAGCAGAAAGAGACAAAGAUGCAGAGAUACUAAUAAAAUGUAUUGAGAUAUGCUUAAAAGCAUGAAAUGGUACACUUUAAUUUCUAGAAAUAGAAAUUAAAAAGAGUAUGGACAACAUGACCUAAGUU
RNAcentral lists this long non-coding RNA (461 nucleotides) under Rattus norvegicus (Norway rat). RNAcentral's name for it is "long non-coding RNA NONRATT033870". Lineage: Eukaryota; Metazoa; Chordata; Mammalia; Rodentia; Muridae. The record is from RNAcentral.